GGCUACUGCUAUUGGGAUUCGACUAAGCCAUGCGAGUCAAGGUGUCUUCGGACGCCGGCGUACGGCUCAGUAACACGUAGGUAACCUACCCUCAGGACUGAGAUAACCCCGGGAAACUGGGGCUAAUAUUAGAUAGAUAAAAGAUACUGGAAUGUUCUUUUAUCCAAAGCUUUUGCGCCUGAGGAUGGGCCUGCGUCCGAUUAGGUUGUUGGUGGGGUAAUGGCCCACCAAGCCUACGAUCGGUACGGGCAGUGAGAGCUGAAGCCCGGAGUUGGGGACUGAGACAAGGCCCCAGGCCCUACGGGGCGCAGCAGGCGCGAAACCUCUGCAAUGCGGGAAACCGUGACAGGGGGAUCCCAAGUGCUCAUGCAUUGCAUGGGCUGUUCUUUGGUCUAAGUAACCAGAGGAGUAAGGGCUGGGCAAGACCGGUGCCAGCCGCCGCGGUAAUACCGGCAGCUCAAGUGGUAGCCGCGAUUAUUGGGCCUAAAGCGUUCGUAGCCGGAUAAGUAAGUCUUUGGUUAAAUCCUGCGACUUAACCGUGGGAAAUCUAGAGAUACUGCUUGUCUUGAGACCGGGAGAGGUUGGAGGUACUCCCAGGGUAGGGGUGAAAUCCUGUAAUCCUGGGGGGACCACCUGUGGCGAAGGCGUCCAACUGGAACGGGUCUGACGGUGAGGGACGAAACCUAGGGGAGCGAGCCGGAUUAGAUACCCGGGUAGUCCUAGGCGUAAAUGAUGCGAGUUAAGUGUGGGGGCAUCCACGGGAUGGCCCUGUGCUGUAGGGUAGCCGUUAAACUCGCCGCCUGGGGAGUACGGUCGCAAGGCUGAAACUUAA
This 832-nucleotide ribosomal RNA is filed under the name archaeon enrichment culture clone L24_3132. RNAcentral describes it as "bacterial SSU rRNA". It matches the Rfam family "Archaeal small subunit ribosomal RNA", at positions 22 to 859 of the family's 1478-position model. The record is from RNAcentral.